CNUACCAUGNAAGUCGAACGGUAGCAGGAAGUGCUUGCACUUCGCUGACGAGUGGCGGACGGGUGAGUAAUGCUUGGGAACUUGCCUUUGCGAGGGGGAUAACAGUUGGAAACGACUGCUAAUACCGCAUAAUGUCUACGGACCAAACGGGGCUUAGGCUUCGGCGCAGAGAGAGGCCCAAGUGAGAUUAGCUAGUUGGUGGGGUAAAGGCUCACCAAGGCGACGAUCUCUAGCUGUUCUGAGAGGAAGAUCAGCCACACUGGGACUGAGACACGGCCCAGACUCCUACGGGAGGCAGCAGUGGGGAAUAUUGCACAAUGGGGGAAACCCUGAUGCAGCCAUGCCGCGUGUGUGAAGAAGGCCUUCGGGUUGUAAAGCACUUUCAGUUGUGAGGAAAAGUGAGUAGUUAAUACCUGCUCACCGUGACGUUAACAACAGAAGAAGCACCGGCUAACUCCGUGCCAGCAGCCGCGGUAAUACGGAGGGUGCGAGCGUUAAUCGGAAUUACUGGGCGUAAAGCGCACGCAGGCGGUUUGUUAAGCUAGAUGUGAAAGCCCCGAGCUCAACUUGGGAUGGUCAUUUAGAACUGGCAGACUAGAGUCUUGGAGAGGGGAGUGGAAUUCCAGGUGUAGCGGUGAAAUGCGUAGAUAUCUGGAGGAACAUCAGUGGCGAAGGCGACUCCCUGGCCAAAGACUGACGCUCAUGUGCGAAAGUGUGGGUAGCGAACAGGAUUAGAUACCCUGGUAGUCCACACCGUAAACGCUGUCUACUAGCUGUUUGUGGCUUUAAGCCGUGAGUAGCGAAGCUAACGCGAUAAGUAGACCGCCUGNNNAGUACGGCCGCAAGGUUAAAACUCAAAUGAAUUGACGGGGGCCCGCACAAGCGGUGGAGCAUGUGGUUUAAUCGAUGCACGCGANNNCCUUACUACACUGACAUGCNNNNACNUUCNNNGNUAGAUGGUNCCUCGNANNUCUGACACAGNNCUGCAUGGCUGU
This 995-nucleotide ribosomal RNA is filed under the name uncultured Alteromonas sp. RNAcentral's name for it is "partial 16S ribosomal RNA". It matches the Rfam family "Bacterial small subunit ribosomal RNA", at positions 48 to 1052 of the family's 1533-position model. The record is from RNAcentral. Lineage: Bacteria; Pseudomonadati; Pseudomonadota; Gammaproteobacteria; Alteromonadales; Alteromonadaceae.